UACUCUGAGGGUGGAGAUCUAUUCCACCUAUAUAGAGUGGAACACUGAUACAGGAAGACAGGAAGAGUGUGAUUGUAGAGACACAGGAAGUAAUACCACAGCAGGGCAGGAAGUGAUGUUGCAGUAUAAAAAGGAAGUUUCGAGUGAGAGGUGAGUUGAGAAGAAGUAGAGAGGAGACAUUGCUGGAACUGGCAGGAGAUGAGUGCCUUCACCUCAUUCCCAAACAGUUAGAAGACGAUUCUAGAAGCCACCAACAAGUCCAUUGAUCUGCUGACAGGAGAGGUUCCUAUAAGGUGUCAGGAGGUCACUGUCUAUUUCUCCAU
Molecule: long non-coding RNA, 323 nt
Organism: Rana temporaria (common frog)
Lineage: Eukaryota; Metazoa; Chordata; Amphibia; Anura; Ranidae
Exons: 3
Source: RefSeq, a predicted model, not a curated record